This is an RNA transcript of Papaver somniferum (opium poppy), 1806 nucleotides long. It is a transcript of the gene named elongation factor Ts, mitochondrial-like, with no coding region annotated. The transcript has 10 exons. NCBI's taxonomy places the organism in Eukaryota, Viridiplantae, Streptophyta, Magnoliopsida, Ranunculales, Papaveraceae. The record is from RefSeq and is a predicted model, not a curated record.
CUUCGAUUUUUCAUAGUCUAAACAAAGAAAAACCUCUACAUUUUCACUUCCACUACUGCACUCGAACCCUAAGUUCUUCUUCUUCUUCUUCUUCAAGUCAAGUUAAAUUAAACCUUGUUGAUGGCUUUAGCUCGAGGUGCAAAAGGCUCUAUCGGAUUUCUAAUUAACCGUUUGCGUCCUGCUCCUACGCAGUCUGGGCAUAAUUAUUCUUCUUGGGCAGGUAGGAGCCGUCAACUUUCUGAAGUUAGAGAACCCUCAUUUAAUUAUUUGAACCAUGGAAAUGAUCAAUGUGGUUUUGGGAGAAAAAUAUUGCUGCGAAGAUUUAGUGUUGAAGCAUCGGAACAAUUGAAACUUAUUAAGCAGUUGAGGGAAAGAACAAGUGCUCCAAUAAAGGAUGUCAAGACUUCUCUCGUCGCUUGCGAUUGGGAUAUUGAGGCUGCUCAGAAGGACCUUAGGAAACGAGGAGUUAUUCAAGCAUCAAAGAAGUCGUCUCGAACUGCUGCUGAGGGUUUGCUUGCGCUAGCACAGAAUGGGGAUAAAGCUGCUAUUAUUGAACUGAAUUGCGAGACGGAUUUUGUUGCAAGGAAUGAAAUAUUUCAAUACUUGGCCUUAUCCUUAGCAAGAAUAGCAUUGUCUGUUGAGAAGUAUGCUGACCAAGCUUCUAGUGGCGUUCCUUUUGACCCUGAAUACUUGGAGCAAUUAAGGAUUAAUCUUGAUCAUCCAAAACUAAGUGGAGAGACAACAGUAAGAAGUGCAAUUACCGAAGUGGCUGCAAUAAUGGGGGAGAAUAUAAAACUCAGAAGGGGUUUUGCAGUUACUAAAUCUACACAUGGCGUUGUCUCUACCUAUAUGCACUCAAGUCCUCAACCAGGUUUAGGCCGUAUAUCUGGAAUUCUAACUCUGGAAGCUGAGAAUGAUAGUGUCUCACUGGAUGCUCUUGAACGAGUGGGUUCACAAUUGGCAAUGCACAUAGUGGCUGCAAAACCAGUGUUCCUAUCAAAGGAGCUUGUUCCUUCUGAAGCCUUGAAGGCUGAACUUGAAAUCAUUAAAUCUCAGGCGGAAACUUCAGGGAGAACGAAGAUGGGCAAAGAAAAAAUGGUGGAAGGUCGUUUGCGGAAAUAUAUGGAAGAAGUAGCUUUUAUGGAGCAAAAAUUUGUUGUUGAUGAUAGUAAGACAAUCAAGAAUGUGAUGGAUGGUCUGUCAAAGGAAGUGGGAUCACAGGUGAAGAUAGGUAAAUUUUUCAGAAUGGAGGUUGGAGAAGGAAUUCAGAGGUUAGAAACAUCGGGGGAGUCUUAAGUCAUGAAUCAGGCGGCUUUGAUGGAGGUGAACUGUAUUGACCUGCAGGAAAAGAGAAUAGACUUGUUACAAACAGAACACACCCUUUAGGCUAUGGUAAUACUUGUGGAAAGACCAAAUAAUCCAUAAGAGGUGGGUUUGCAUUUCAGUAAGGUUGUGUAUUGUUACACGGAAGGUAUCAGAGUUGUGGUUCAGGCAGCUAAAUUUAAGGAACCAUAUGAUGAGAAGCUAAUUAAACAGCUGAAAGUAAAUUUUGGAGAUUCUUUUCACGUAGUUGCCCAAGGGUUUUCUUAGAAAUAAAUAAUGUAAGGAGAAGAUGGAUGUUUAGUUAAAUGGAGAGAAGUCAAUCAAAGUUGAGUGCACCUGUUGAGGCAGCUUACAUUUACAAGUUUAUAUAAUGUCCGACAUGUAUUGUCUUCAUUUAACGUUCUUCAAAGAAAACUGAAGUUUUGCAAGUGCACCAUUUGAAAUUUGAUUUUGUAUCUUUAAUCUCUGGUUAUCGUUUUGUUA